Molecule: unclassified non-coding RNA, 185 nt
Filed under: Glomeraceae sp.
Lineage: Eukaryota; Fungi; Glomeromycota; Glomeromycetes; Glomerales; Glomeraceae
Description: partial contains 5.8S ribosomal RNA and internal transcribed spacer 2
Rfam family: 5.8S ribosomal RNA (bases 1-71)
Source: RNAcentral
GUGAAUCAUCAAAUCUUUGAACGCAAAUUGCACUCCCUGGUAUUCCGGGGAGUAUGCCUGUUUGAGGGUCGUUAGAAUAAAUCAUCGAGGCGUCGCUCUUUUUUUUAAGGGUGGUCGUGUCGGCAUUGAGCGGUGUUUCAAAUGUUAAUUCAUGUCAACGUUGUUUGAGAUUCAUCCAUUCGUUU